CCAUACGGCCCUGAACGUACCCGAUCUUGGAAGCUAAGCAGGGUCAGGCCUGGGUAGUAUGUGGAUGGGAGACCACGGCUGCCCUGGAUG
RNAcentral lists this ribosomal RNA (90 nucleotides) under Sorex araneus (European shrew). The record is from RNAcentral. Lineage: Eukaryota; Metazoa; Chordata; Mammalia; Eulipotyphla; Soricidae.